This is a long non-coding RNA of Paramisgurnus dabryanus, 494 nucleotides long. RefSeq lists it as uncharacterized. The record is from RefSeq and is a predicted model, not a curated record. NCBI's taxonomy places the organism in Eukaryota, Metazoa, Chordata, Actinopteri, Cypriniformes, Cobitidae.
UCAGACAUGCAAAGACACCAAUGAAUUUAAGAUGUUUGGUUUUAUCUGAAUAUCUGCUGUCACGCAUAACAUUCAUUAUUUGACCGUAUUUCAAAGAUAAACAAAAUCCAGUUACAACUCCGAACCGCUAGAUGGCAGAGUACACAAACACGAGGCCAUAUCUCGCGAGAAAGAUUUCCGCUGUUUGAAAAUCAACAACAUCAGCGAGCAGCCAGGAGGAAAGCAAUCUACCACACUCGUUCGGUCUUGUGUCAAAGCUCUGCGAAACUGGAGGGAGAAACUUGAGAGACUGUGCCGGAAGAAUGCUGGACAGAGUUCACUCAAAUUCAUUAAUUUCAAAGUUCAACAUGAAUAGUGGUGGUCCACUGCAGAAGCAAGCAUUUGAAAAAACAUCAGUUCUCAGUUAUUAAAGAUGCUGUGUUGAACAACUUCCCAGCAGCAACAGAACUGGAAGUGAGGAUGCAAUGGGGGCAUUUCAAACAGUCACCAGGGAG